This 758-nucleotide ribosomal RNA is filed under the name Admetula affluens. Its description in RNAcentral is "partial 16S ribosomal RNA". The stretch from base 1 to 597 matches the Rfam family "Bacterial large subunit ribosomal RNA", at positions 1803 to 2925 of the family's 2925-position model. The record is from RNAcentral. Lineage: Eukaryota; Metazoa; Mollusca; Gastropoda; Neogastropoda; Cancellariidae.
UUUAUCAAAAACAUGGCUCUUUGUACAAUUCAUAAAUAAAGAGUCGGACCUGCCCAGUGAAAGUAUUUAACGGCCGCGGUACCCUGACCGUGCAAAGGUAGCAUAAUCAUUUGCCUUAUAAUUGAAGGCUUGUAUGAAUGGUUUGACUAGAACAAAGCUGUCUCUUUGCAAUUUAAUAAAAUUUGAUUUUUAGGUGAAGAAGCCUAAAUUUAAUUAAAAGACAAGAAGACCCUAUCGAGCUUUAAAGAAAUUAGCAGAUUUAUUUAGAAUAUUUAUUUAGAAAAUUAAUUGUUAAAAAUUUUGGUUGGGGCGACUAAGGAACAAUUAAAGCUUCCUUAAUGUUUAAUAAUUUACAGAUAUUGAUCCAAGUUUUUUGAUUAAAGAAAUUAGUUACCGUAGGGAUAACAGCAUUAUCUUUUUUGAGAGUUCCUAUCGAAAAAAAGGUUUGUGACCUCGAUGUUGGACCAGAAUAUCCUAAAGAUGCAGAAGUCUUCGAGGGUUGGUCUGUUCGACCAUUAAAAUUCUACGUGAUCUGAGUUCAGACCGGCGUGAGCCAGGUCAGUUUCUAUCUUUAAUUUUUAUUCUAAGUUUAGUACGAAAGGACCAACUUAUAAUAUAGGAUAUUAUAGAUGAAAUAAUUUAAUAUUUUGGUGUCAGAUUAGCACAUUUAAUGCAAUUGAUUUAGGAUCAGUAGAUAUAGGUGAAAUUUCUGUAUCUGAUAUUAUUUAUAUAGAUAGCAGAUUGAGUGCAUUAGGUUU